AUUGAACGCUGGCGGAAUGCUUUACACAUGCAAGUCGAACGGCAGCACGGGGGCAACCCUGGUGGCGAGUGGCGAACGGGUGAGUAAUAUAUCGGAACGUGCCCAGUCGUGGGGGAUAACGUAGCGAAAGUUACGCUAAUACCGCAUACGAUCUACGGAUGAAAGCGGGGGAUCGCAAGACCUCGCGCGAUUGGAGCGGCCGAUAUCAGAUUAGGUAGUUGGUGGGGUAAAGGCUCACCAAGCCAACGAUCUGUAGCUGGUCUGAGAGGACGACCAGCCACACUGGGACUGAGACACGGCCCAGACUCCUACGGGAGGCAGCAGUGGGGAAUUUUGGACAAUGGGCGCAAGCCUGAUCCAGCCAUUCCGCGUGCAGGACGAAGGCCCUUCGGGUUGUAAACUGCUUUUGUACGGAACGAAAAGCCUUGGCUAAUACCCGGGGUCCAUGACGGUACCGUAAGAAUAAGCACCGGCUAACUACGUG
Molecule: ribosomal RNA, 484 nt
Filed under: uncultured bacterium
Lineage: Bacteria
Description: bacterial SSU rRNA
Rfam family: Bacterial small subunit ribosomal RNA
Source: RNAcentral